Molecule: non-coding RNA, 30 nt
Filed under: Homo sapiens (human)
Lineage: Eukaryota; Metazoa; Chordata; Mammalia; Primates; Hominidae
Source: RNAcentral
GUUUGGAAAAUUUGCAGCCUGAUGAUGUGA